RNAcentral lists this ribosomal RNA (196 nucleotides) under uncultured bacterium. RNAcentral's name for it is "partial 16S ribosomal RNA". The record is from RNAcentral.
UAUUACCGCGGCUGCUGGCACGGAGUUAGCCGGUGCUUCUUCUGCGGGUAACGUCAAUUGCUGUGGUUAUUAACCACAACACCUUCCUCCCCGCUGAAAGUACUUUACAACCCGAAGGCCUUCUUCAUACACGCGGCAUGGCUGCAUCAGGCCUGCGCCCAUUGUGCAAUAUUCCCCACUGCUGCCUCCCGUAGGA